RNAcentral lists this ribosomal RNA (492 nucleotides) under uncultured bacterium. RNAcentral's name for it is "partial 16S ribosomal RNA". It matches the Rfam family "Bacterial small subunit ribosomal RNA", at positions 29 to 507 of the family's 1533-position model. The record is from RNAcentral.
AGUGAACGCUGGCGGUAGGCCUAACACAUGCAAGUCGAACGGCAGCACAGUAAGAGCUUGCUCUUACGGGUGGCGAGUGGCGGACGGGUGAGGAAUACAUCGGAAUCUACUUUUUCGUGGGGGAUAACGUAGGGAAACUUACGCUAAUACCGCAUACGACCUACGGGUGAAAGCAGGGGAUCUUCGGACCUUGCGCGAUUGAAUGAGCCGAUGUCGGAUUAGCUAGUUGGCGGGGUAAAGGCCCACCAAGGCGACGAUCCGUAGCUGGUCUGAGAGGAUGAUCAGCCACACUGGAACUGAGACACGGUCCAGACUCCUAAGGGAGGCAGCAGUGGGGAACAUUGGACAAUGGGCGCAAGCCUGAUCCAGCCAUACCGCGUGGGUGAAGAAGGCCUUCGGGUUGUAAAGCCCUUUUGUUGGGAAAGAAAAGCAGCAGGUUAAUACCCCGCUGUUCUGACGGUACCCAAAGAAUAAGCACCGGCUAACUUCGUG